This is a non-coding RNA of Pogona vitticeps (central bearded dragon), 271 nucleotides long. NCBI's taxonomy places the organism in Eukaryota, Metazoa, Chordata, Lepidosauria, Squamata, Agamidae. The record is from RefSeq and is a predicted model, not a curated record.
UUGCGCAGUGAAAGGCAACAUUCAGUGCUCAGCCAUGUUUGGCAAAUGCAGGGUAUCGUAUCCAUGCCCGGCGGGUGAAACAAAAAUUGGAGAAUGCAAUAACGACGACCAUUGUUGUAUAAAGGCUGUUAUUAUAUCUGGAAUUAAGGACUGGUAGCCUGCUUUGUGGAUGUUCAAGAGGAGAAAUUCCUUCAUACUGCAUAUCAAGAAGACAUUGUAAAGUGACCAAUUUCAGACUUCUAUAAUAAAUUUGUUUUCUUUUGAAAUUGUA